GAAAGAAUAUCGGAGACGGAUGGGCAUGCGGCGCAUUAGCUAGUUGGCGGGGUAACGGCCCACCAAGGCGACGAUGCGUAGGGGUUCUGAGAGGAAGGUCCCCCACACUGGUACUGAGACACGGACCAGACUCCUACGGGAGGCAGCAGUGAGGAAUAUUGGUCAAUGGGCGAGAGCCUGAACCAGCCAAGUCGCGUGAGGGAGUACUGCCCUAUGGGUUGUAAACCUCUUUUGUCGGGGAGCAAAAGCCGGACGUGUCCGUCUGUGAGAGUACCCGAAGAAAAAGCAUCGGCUAACUCCGUGCCAGCAGCCGCGGUAAUACGGAGGAUGCGAGCGUUAUCCGGAUUUAUUGGGUUUAAAGGGUGCGCAGGCGGAUUUUUAAGUCAGCGGUCAAAUCGUGGGGCUCAACCCCAUCCAGCCGUUGAAACUGGGGAUCUAGAGUGUGCGAGAGGUAUGCGGAAUGCGUGGUGUAGCGGUGAAAUGCAUAGAUAUCACGCAGAACCCCGAUUGCGAAGGCAGCAUACCGGUGCACAACUGACGCUCAGGCACGAAAGCGUGGGUAUCGAACAGGAUUAGAUACCCUGGUAGUCCACGCAGUAAACGAUGAGUGCUACCUGUUUGGCCAGAUUGAAGGCUGA
This 638-nucleotide ribosomal RNA is filed under the name uncultured bacterium. RNAcentral's name for it is "bacterial SSU rRNA". It matches the Rfam family "Bacterial small subunit ribosomal RNA", at positions 202 to 842 of the family's 1533-position model. The record is from RNAcentral.